ACGCACGCACCGCCGGGCGCGCGCCCGCCCGCCCGCCGCAGCCACCGCUUGCUUGGCGGAGCGCCCGCCCGGGCCACACACACACACACACACACACACACGCGGUCUCCCCCCCGGAGCGCGGCUGGCCCGGCGCGCACACCCGCCGCCCUCCGGGGCCGCCGCACGCCGGGGCGUGAGCGUGCCCCGAGGCGAGCCCUCGCCGGGACCACAGCGCCCCCGGCCUCCACCCCCGCCCCGCAGCCUCGGGCCCUGGAGUCCCCAGCUCCGGGAAAGGCACGGUGGCAGGGGACUUUGCAGCAGUUGCCUCUCUGCCCAAAGGACUUCCCCCAGGAAGACUCCAAAACCUCCUGCACAUGUUCCCAAAGAAACCACACAGCUCGCGAUUACAGACAUCCUACGCUAGAUCGUUCCUCUGCAGCCCUCGGGAGGGACUCAGGUGGGUGGCUGCUCUGGACAGGAAAGGCCCUAGCUUCCUGAAGGGGACGCAGUGCAACUCCGCGUGGCUGCGUGAUCAAGGAAGCCGCCUAUUCGGAACCUCAUCAGAACACCUUCGCCACGGAGUUGGUCUGCAGUAACCGAGAAAAAGAUUCCCAUGUGCUCCCAGAACUCCCUUCUCAGAUUUUCCUUCCUCUAGAGAAGAGAGCGGGCUUUGUGGCUCAGAGUGGCCUGCUCUCCAGCGCCCUGGCAGACACUGUGUGCAGCAGCAAGGCCACUAUGAAUCUCGGUAUCGGAGAAGGAAGCUGUGGGGAGGAAACAGGCUGCUUCCCCAGAGUAGCUGUAAAGAUUCGCAGCUCUCCCAGACCGGGCUUGCUAGUAUCGGGAGGCCUCCGAGCUGGCCCAUUUCAAGCCUCCGAGAGGUCGUUAGGACAUCAGAAGAGGGCUGCCAACAACAACUUAGAUUCAGACCACUCACAUGCCUCCCUCCCCCUCAAAGACAGAACCAGGCUGGCCUCAACCGCAGAGAACCGCCGACCUCUUCCUGAAUGCUGGGAUCACAGGACACCAUGCCCGGCUUAAACUGUCUUAUCCAUCUCAGGUUUUCUUUUCUUUUUUUCAGGACAGCCAAGGCUACAGACACCCUUUCUCGAAAAAACAAAACAAAAAAAGAAAAUAUAGUGUGGUGCGGUGCUAUGCUUGCCUAGUAACUGGAAACCCUGGCACCAAUCUCAGCGCCGCACUAAAUAAAUGAAUAAAUCUAAAAUGAGGUCAAAAGGGAAUAACGACAGCAUGCCUACAGAAGGUGGAGGGGCAGAGAUAGCACAAGAGGCACGCCUUCUUCGUUGCAUUGCGGUUCUUUCUCUGAGACGACUUCACCUCAGACUUGUUCUGUUAAUCUGGGGCAUGCAGGAAGCCUAAGGUUUAAUGGACUGCAUAAAUACCCAGCCUAUGGUUGGCCCCAGUUGUGAUCUGGAAGUACAGUCAGGAGGAUCAGAUUUGGUUUCAAUGUUGUCUUUUUUUCAAGACAGGGUGUUGGAGGUUGGUCUGAUACUAAUUACUGGCCCUCUGUGUAAACCUGCCUGAUUCUUACCUGAUUGACCAAGUAAACAGCCUAUACCUGGGCUGGGCAGAAUGGGUGGGCGUGGCUAAAGUCCCAGGGCUUUGGAGAAUCCCAUGAGAAAUCACAGGAAGGACAGAGAGGAAGGAGGAGGAUGCCAGGAUUGGUUAGUCUGGAAAAUACACCACAUGGGCUGAGAAAGGACUCUAGUAAUGGCGUGAAAAGGCUCAGAUGGAAACCAUGGGAUUAUGGAUGGAAGGUAGUCCAGCUGAGGAGGAUUAAGGCAGAUGGUGUUGGUUGGGGGCUGGGAGAUGGAUGGUGAGGUUUCUGAGACUGUGUGUAAGUGAAAUAUCCGCCCAGCCCAAGGUAAAGAAGGCAAUUAUAAAUCUAA
Long non-coding RNA from Meriones unguiculatus (Mongolian gerbil), 1889 nucleotides. RefSeq lists it as uncharacterized. The transcript is spliced from 3 exons. NCBI's taxonomy places the organism in Eukaryota, Metazoa, Chordata, Mammalia, Rodentia, Muridae. The record is from RefSeq and is a predicted model, not a curated record.